Molecule: ribosomal RNA, 1411 nt
Filed under: Idiomarina sp.
Lineage: Bacteria; Pseudomonadati; Pseudomonadota; Gammaproteobacteria; Alteromonadales; Idiomarinaceae
Description: bacterial SSU rRNA
Rfam family: Bacterial small subunit ribosomal RNA
Source: RNAcentral
CAUGCAAGUCGAGCGGUAACAGAGAGAAGCUUGCUUCUCUGCUGACGAGCGGCGGACGGGUGAGUAAGACUUGGGAAUUUGCCUUAGGCGGGGGACAACCACUGGAAACGGUGGCUAAUACCGCAUAAUGUCUACGGACCAAAGUGGGGGACCUUCGGGCCUCACGCCUAAAGAUGAGCCCAAGCGGGAUUAGCUAGUUGGUGGGGUAAAGGCUCACAAAGGCGACGAUCCCUAGCUGUUCUGAGAGGAUGAUCAGCCACACUGGGACUGAGACACGGCCCAGACUCCUACGGGAGGCAGCAGUGGGGAAUAUUGCACAAUGGGGGAAACCCUGAUGCAGCCAUGCCGCGUGUGUGAAGAAGGCCUUCGGGUUGUAAAGCACUUUCAGUGGUGAGGAAAGGGUGAUAGUUAAUANCUAUCACAGUUGACGUUAGCCACAGAAGAAGCACCGGCUAACUCCGUGCCAGCAGCCGCGGUAAUACGGAGGUGCAAGCGUUAAUCGGAAUUACUGGGCGUAAAGCGUACGUAGGCGGUGUGUUAAGCUAGAUGUGAAAGCCCGGGCUCAACCUGGGAAUAGCAUUUAGAACUGGCACGCUAGAGUCCUGAAGAGGGUGGUAGAAUUUCCAGUGUAGCGGUGAAAUGCGUACAUAUUGGAAGGAAUACCGGUGGCGAAGGCGGCCACCUGGUCAGAGACUGACGCUGAGGUACGAAAGCGUGGGGAGCAAACAGAAUUAGAUACCCUGGUAGUCCACGCCGUAAACGAUGUCAACUAGUUGUUCGUGUCAUUAAGACGUGAGUAACGCAGCUAACGCACUAAGUUGACCGCCUGGGGAGUACGGCCGCAAGGUUAAACUCAAAUGAAUUGACGGGGGCCCGCACNAGCGGUGGAGCAUGUGGUUUAAUCCUAUUCUUCGCGAACAACCUUACCAUCCCUUGACAUCCAGUGAAUUUUCCAGAGAUGGAUUAGUGCCUUCGGGAACACUGAGACAGGUGCUGCAUGGCUGUCGUCAGCUCGUGUUGUGAGAUGUUGGGUUAAGUCCCGCAACGAGCGCAACCCUUAUCCUUAGUUGCCAGCGGCUCGGCCGGGAACUCUGGGGAGACUGCCGGUGAUAAACCGGAGGAAGGUGGGGACGACGUCAAGUCAUCAUGGCCCUUACGGGAUGGGCUACACACGUGCUACAAUGGCGCAUACAAAGGGCAGCGAACCUGCGAAGGUAAGCGAAUCUCAUAAAGUGCGUCGUAGUCCGGAUUGGAGUCUGCAACUCGACUCCAUGAAGUCGGAAUCGCUAGUAAUCGUGGAUCAGAAUGCCACGGUGAAUACGUUCCCGGGCCUUGUACACACCGCCCGUCACACCAUGGGAGUGGGCUGCACCAGAAGUGGUUAGUUUAACCUUCGGGAGAACGAUCACCA